Molecule: long non-coding RNA, 2593 nt
Filed under: Sus scrofa (pig)
Lineage: Eukaryota; Metazoa; Chordata; Mammalia; Artiodactyla; Suidae
Description: lncRNA (ENSSSCG00065036028.1)
Source: RNAcentral
AGUCACUCUGCAAGAACUUCUUGAAGGAGGCCUCACUGUCUAGGCAUUUUUUCCAUCAACACCCAACACAGUAUCUGUUCUAUAACAGCCACUCGAUGUAUGUUUUCAGGAUCAGUGUAUGAAUGAAUACAUCUAUUAUAUUCUUUCCAAAAUUCAUUUCCAGGCUGAAUAACUUAGGGUUUUUGUUGUUAUGGUUAAAGAAUAAUGCUCAUUUCCAAAUACAUGAUUCUGAUUUUCUGCCAAAAUCCUACCCCUUUGGGAAAUUUACUUCAUCAUGUUCCUGGUGUCAGCCUUAUUUAAUCUUCUAAAAACUGAACUAAAAUCCUACUUGCUGCUUUUCUCCUCCCUACCUCAUCAUACAAUAGCUUAGCUUUUCUCCCUUUAUGUGAGAUUGAGUUUGUAAGUACAUUUGCAGGGGCAGAAGAAAAGAAACUGCUCUUUCAUUCCUUUUGCAAAGCUGCUCUGGAUUCUUACACGAGCUUCCUUACUCCUCCGUGAUACUUUUCCUCCUGUGUGUUUUCUUUGUUCUCUAAAUGCAUGGGAGCCUUUCUGAAAAUGCCUUUAUUCCCUUGAAGAAGCAGAGCAAGCAGACUGCAGAUCCUUUGGCUAACAAUUUUCAUUAUUAGAAUUGCACAAUUAGUGAUUUGCAUCACUAAUGCAGGAGAUGAGGCAUACAUGUGGAAGAGGAGCCUUCCUGACUCUGUGUGCCCAUAGACAUAUCAGCAGUGACUAGUAUAAUUGCAGAUGCUAAAAGUAACUUGUCCUCCAUUAUUGCCAUCAUUUUCAUCACCGCCAUCAUCCUCUUCAUCACUGAAAUCUACACCACAUUGUGUGUGGUCUGCACAAAACCAUAUAUACCAUAUCCUAACUCCUGACAUCACUUCUUUGUGUUUUUAUAGCAUUUUGAACCCUCAUGAUACCUCAUUUGCAUAAUAAUCUUAGACUAUGUUGUGGCCAUUUGAGGUUAUUAUCUUUCUUGACUCCUUUUCUCUACUGAUCUAAACCAGAAAUUAUGUAAAGGCUGAAAUUUAGGUUUUUAAUCUAUCAUUAUUGCCCAUAUCACUAUGCUGAGAACAUAACAGAAGUUCAGUAACUAUUUGUGGAAUUAAAUUGCCUACCUUACAUCUAAAACAGAAAAAAAAAAAAGAAACUGAAAAGAAGUCCCAAGAAGUUAAAUAAAUCAACAAUUGCCAAAUACAUAUUUAUCAAUAAUUACCUAAAUGUCAUUGGACGGAAUGCUCCAAUCAAAAGACACAGAGUGGCAGGUUGGCUAAAAAAGCAAAAGCCUACAAUAUUGUCUACAAGAGACUCACUUCAGGGCAAAGGACACAUAGAUUGAAAAUGAGGGGAUAGGAAAAAAUAUUUUAUGUCAAUGGACAAGGCAGGAAAGCAGGAGUUGUAAUAUUCAUAUCAGACAAAAUAGACUUUAAAAUGAAGGCCAUAAAAAAAGACAAGGAAGGACAAUAUUUAAUGAUAAAGGGAUCCAUUCAAGAAGAGGAUAUUACAAUCAUCAGUAUAUAUGCCCCUAAUAUAGGAGUACCCAGAUACAUACAAAAAUACUAACAGACAUAAAAGGAGAAAUCGAUGGAAACACAAUAACAGUAGGAGGUUUUAACACCCCACUCACAUCAAAGGACAGAUCCUCUAGACAGAAAAUCAAUAAGAGAACAGAGAUCCUAAAUGACGCAAUAGAAAAGUUAGACUUCAUUGGCAUUUUCAGAACAUUACAUCCAAAAAAAAUCAGAAUAUACAUUCUUCUCAAGUGCACAUGGAACAUUUUCAAGGAUCAAUCACAUACUGGGGCACAAAACUAAUCUCAAAAAAUUUAAGAGUAUAGAAAUUAUUUCAAGGAUCUUCUCUGACCACAAUGGCAUGAAACCAGAAAUCAACCACAGGAAAAGAAAUGAGAAAAAACUCACUACAUGUAGACUAAACAACAUGCUACUAAAAAACCAAUGGGUCAAUGAGAAAAUCAAAAUAGGAAAUUAAAAAACACCUCAAGACAAAUGAUAAUGAGGACACAAAAUUCAAAAUCUAUGGGAUGCUGCAAAAGCAGUGCUUAGUAGGAAAUUCACAGCAAUUCAGGUCUUCCUGAAAAAAGAAGAAAAAUCUCAAAUCAACGACUUAACCCACCACCUAAAGAAUUAGAAAACAAAGAACAAACAAAACCUAAAGUCAGCAGAAGGAAGGAAAUAAUAAAGAUCAGAGAGGAGAUCAAUAAAAUAGAAUUCAAAAAACAAUAGAAAAAAAUCAAUAAAACCAAGAUCUGGUUCUUUGAAAAGGUAAACAAAAUGGAAAAAAUCUCUGGCCAGACUCACCAAGAAGAGGAGAAAAAGAACUCAAAGAAACGAAAUAAGAAAUGAAAAAGGAGAAAUCACAGUGGAAACUGCAGAAAUACAAAUAAUCAUAAGAGAAUACAAUGUGCAAUUAUAUGCCAACAAAUUUCACAACCUAGAAGAAAUGGACAACUUUCUAGAGACAGCCUGACAAAACUGAAUCAAGAAGAAACAGGAGUUCCCUUUGUGGCGCAGUGGUUAACGAAUCCGACUAGGAACCAUGAAGUUUUGGGUUCGAUCCCUGGCCUUGCUCAGUG